UGUGAUGGUGUGCGCCUGUAGUCCCAGCUCCUCAGGAGGUUGAGGUGGGAGGAUUGCUUGAUCCUGGGUGGUCGAGGUUGCAGUGAACUAUGAUUGUGCCACUGCACUCCAGCCUGGGUGACAGAUAAUGUCUCUUUUAGAGACAGUAGGGAGGGUCUUUUAGGGUCGCAAGACCAUUCGGGGGGAAAGAACUGCCUCUUUGACAAAUGGCGAUGGGACUGAGAACCACAUGCAAAAGAAUGUUGACCACCUGACCACACCAUAUAUGCAGAAAUUAAUUCAAAUUGGAUGAAAGUUUUUUUUUUUUGAGACUUUGUCUCAAAAAAAAAAAAAAAGAAAAGCUAAAUGACAUUGGCCAGGCAAUGGUGCUCUUGGUUUUUUUUUUUUUUUACUCUUAGGUAUAUACCCAAGAGAAUGGAAAAUAUACAUCCACACAAACAAAAACCUGUACAUCAAUGUUCACAGCAGCUCUAUUCACAAUAGCCAAAAGACGGAAACAAAUAAAAAUGUGGUCUAUCCAUACAAUGGGGUAUUAUCCAGCCAUAGGAAGGAAUGAAGUACUUCAGGAGCUCAAGACCAGCCUGGGCAACAUAGCAAGAGCUGUCGCUACUAAAAAUUUUAGCCCAAUAUGGUGGAGUGUGCCUGUAGUCCCAGCUAUUUGGGAGGUAGGAGGAUCACUUGAACCCAGGAGAUGGAGGCUGCAGUGAACUAGGAUCGCACCACUGCACUCCAGCCUGAAUGACAGAAUAAGAUCCUCUUGAAAAAACAAGCAACAAACCAGGCGCGGUGGCUCACACCUGUAAUCCCGGCACUUUGGGAGGCGGAGGCAGGUGGAUCACGAGGUCAAGAGCUCGAGACCAUCCUGGCCAACAUGGUGAAACCCCGUCUCUACUAAAAAUACAAAAAUUAGCUGGGUGUGGUGGCAUGUGCCUAUAGUCCCGGCUACUCGGGAGGCUGAAGCAGAAGAAUCGCUUGAACCUGGGAGGCAGAGGUUGCAGUGAGCCGAGAUUGCGCCACUGCAGUCCAGCCUGGUAACAGAGCGAGACUCCGUCUCAAACAAACAAAAGCAGCAAAAGAGAUAAAUGUCCAGAACGGGCAAAUCCAGAGACAGAAAGUGGAUUCGUGGGGCUUGGAGCUGGGGAACUGGGAGAAAUAGGGGCAGACUGCUGAUGGGUACAGGGUAUCUUUUUAGAGCUAUAAAAAUGCUCUGGAAUCAGGUCAUGGUAACGGUUGCACAACUGUGAUACACUAAAAGCAACUGUAUACCUUAAAAUGGGGAAUUUUAUGGUGUGCUAAUUACAUAACAUUUUUUAAGAAGAAUUGCCUAAUUACAACUGUGGAUGCUCUGCUGUGGUUGUGGAGUGCAAUGAGGAGGCAGGGACGUCCCUGAGGAGGCUGCCCUGGCUCAUGGCCCUGCCUUGGGCUCCUGGGGAGGAACAUAGAGUGAGAAGGGCCGGGCUGCCAUCUCGGCUCUGGGGCAGGUGGGGAGAGGUUGCUGCUUGGGCUUUGAGAGCAGCCAGGGAGGUAAGUAAACCCAGUGAGGAGAGGCCUCCUUAAAGCAGACAGCAGUGCUGGGAAGGCAGGUCGGCCACCAGGCCACGUCCCGGGACAGCACACUGGCCACCUGGGUGUCCUUCCCCAAGUGCAUUCCACAACACAAUCUGGGUGCAAGGAACAUUUUAUUCCAUAACUGUCUCCACCGAAGCCGCAGAAGCAAAGCCAGGAGCAGAAUC
Molecule: long non-coding RNA, 1733 nt
Filed under: Homo sapiens (human)
Lineage: Eukaryota; Metazoa; Chordata; Mammalia; Primates; Hominidae
Description: HSALNT0196612
Source: RNAcentral